RNAcentral lists this ribosomal RNA (860 nucleotides) under Trochosa spinipalpis. Its description in RNAcentral is "SSU rRNA". It matches the Rfam family "Eukaryotic small subunit ribosomal RNA", at positions 24 to 894 of the family's 1831-position model. The record is from RNAcentral. Lineage: Eukaryota; Metazoa; Arthropoda; Arachnida; Araneae; Lycosidae.
UCAUAUGCUUGUCUCAAAGAUUAAGCCAUGCAUGUCUAAGUACAUGCCGUAUUAAGGCGAAACCGCGAAUGGCUCAUUAAAUCAGUUAUGGUUCCUUGGAUCGUACUUCACUACUUGGAUAACUGUGGCAAUUCUAGAGCUAAUACAUGCAGCARAGCUCCGACCUUCGGGGACGAGCGCUUUUAUUAGACCAAAACCAAUCGGACCUCGUGUCCGUCCUUCGUGGUGACUCUGUAUAACUUUGGGCUGAUCGCACGGGCCCGUCCCGGCGACGUAUCUUUCAAGUGUCUGCCUUAUCAACUUUCGAUGGUAGGUUACGCGCCUACCAUGGUCAUAACGGGUAACGGGGAAUCAGGGUUCGAUUCCGGAGAGGGAGCCUGAGAAACGGCUACCACAUCCAAGGAAGGCAGCAGGCGCGCAAAUUACCCACUCCCAGAACGGGGAGGUAGUGACGAAAAAUAACAAUACGGGACUCUUUUGAGACCCCGUAAUUGGAAUGAGUACACUCUAAAUCCUUUAACGAGGAUCUAUUCGAGGGCAAGUCUGGUGCCAGCCGCCGCGGUAAUUCCAGCUCGAAUAGCGUAUAUUAAAGUUGUUGCGGUUAAAAAGCUCGUAGUUGGAUCUCAGUUCCAGACGGGUGGUCCGCCAAACGGUGGUUACUGCCCGUUCUGAACAGCCAGCCGGUUUCUCUUGAUGAUCUUCACCGGUUGUCUCGGGUGACCGGCAAGUUUACUUUGAAAAAAUUAGAGUGCUCAAAGCAGGCGCGACGCCUGAAUAAUGGUGCAUGGAAUAAUGGAAUAGGACCUCGGUUCUAUUUUGUUGGUUUUCGGAACACGAGGUAAUGAUUAAGAGGGACAGAC